AUGGAGGCCGCCACCCAGGUCUUGUCAAGAGCCCCGACCGUGGUCUACGGCCCCGAGGAUAUCGAGGCACAAUAAGUACCUGACUACGCGCGUCAGCCCCGAGGGCGGCAUCCUCAAGGUGCACCCACGACCACGUGCUCCACCUUCCAGACCCCCCGCCCCCGCAGGUGCUCCGGCUCCGGGUCGGCUGGGGAGGGACAACAGCUGCACGCUCACCGCUGCGGUCCUGCCCAACCCGCCGCGUCUGUCCUGGCCCACGCGCAGCGGCCGCAAGGGGGACAACUACUACGGCUCGCUGACUCAGGCGGGCACCGUGGGCCUGGGCUUGGACGCCGAGGCCCAGGAGGUGUUCGUGCCCUUCAGUGCGCUGCUGCCCAUGGUGGCGCCCAACGACCUCAUGUUUGAUGGCUGGGACAUCUCGUCGCUGAACCUCGCCGAGGCGAUGCGGGACGCAAAGGUGCUGGAUUGGGAGCUGCAGGAGCAACUGUGGCCGCACAUGGAAGCCCUGCGGCCUUGGCCUUCCGUCUACAUCCCUGAGUUCAUGGCGGACAACCUCAUGCCGGGCUCACGCCCGCAGCAGCGGGAGCAGAUCCGCAAGGACAUCCCAGACUUCCGGUCUAGCGCGGGGCUGGACAAAGUCCUCGUGCUGUGGACGGACAACACAGAGGCUUCUGUGAGGUGGUUCCGGGCCUCAACCACACGGCCGAGAACCUGCUGCGCCCCACUGAGCUCGGCCUGCAGGCGUCUCCCUCCACGCUCUUCGCCGUCGCCAGCAUCCUGGAGGGCUGUGCCUUCCUCAGUGGGUCCCCGAGAACACCCUGGUGCCCGGAGCUCUUGAGCUCGCGUGUCAGCGCUGGAUUUUCGUGGGCGGUGACGUCAAGCCUGGCCAGACCAAAGUCAAGCCCGUGCUCGUGGACUUCCUCAUCAGCUCUGGCCUCCAGACCAUGUCCUUCGUGAGUUACAACCACCUGGGAAACAACGACGGGCAGAACCUGUCGGCGCCUUGCAGUUCCGCUCUAAGGAGGUGUCCGAGAGCAACGUGGUGGACGACAUGCUGCAGAGCAACCCAGUGCUCUAUACGCCCGGGUAGGAGCCCGACCACUGCGUGGUCAAAUACCUGCCGUACAAGGGUGACAGGAAGCGCGCGCUGGGUGAGUAAACCUCGGAGCUAAUGCUGGGCGGGCCCAACACACUGGUGCUGCACUACAUUUGCUGCUGGCCGCACCCAUCACGCUAGACCUGCUGCUGCUGACCGAGCUGUGCCAUCGCAUAAGCUUCUGCGCUGACGCUGACCCGGAGCCGGACCUUCCUCGCCGUGCUGUCCCUGCUGAGCUUCCUAUUCAAGGCGCAGCGUGUUCCGCCGGGCAACCCGGUGAUCAAUGCGCUUUUCCGCCAACGCUGCUGCAUCCAGAAUAUCCUCAGGGCCUGCGUGGGGCUCCCGCCACAGAACCACGUGCUCCUGGAGCAUAAGAUGGAGCACCCAGGGCCCGACCUCAAGCAAGUCGGACCCGUGGCUGCCGCCUGCCCUGUGUCGAACAAGAAAGGACCGAAACCUGCUUCCACCACCGACAGCACCGGUGAUACCAAUGGGCACCAACAAGUGGAGGAACCCCAGAUGCCCACCACCUGA
This is a non-coding RNA of Saimiri boliviensis boliviensis (Bolivian squirrel monkey), 1630 nucleotides long. The record is from RefSeq and is a predicted model, not a curated record. NCBI's taxonomy places the organism in Eukaryota, Metazoa, Chordata, Mammalia, Primates, Cebidae.